This 661-nucleotide ribosomal RNA is filed under the name uncultured Acidobacteriota bacterium. Its description in RNAcentral is "SSU rRNA". It matches the Rfam family "Bacterial small subunit ribosomal RNA", at positions 246 to 915 of the family's 1533-position model. The record is from RNAcentral. Lineage: Bacteria; Pseudomonadati; Acidobacteriota.
UAGUUGGUGAGGUAAUGGCUCACCAAGGCUACGAUCAGUAUCCGGUCUGAGAGGACGGUCGGACACACUGGAACUGAGACACGGUCCAGACUCCUACGGGAGGCAGCAGUGGGGAAUUUUUCGCAAUGGGGGCAACCCUGACGAAGCAACGCCGCGUGGAUGAUGAAGUAUCUCGGUACGUAAAAUCCUUUCGACAGGGAAGAAACCGCAAGGUUGACGGUACCUGUAGAAGAAGCCCCGGCUAACUCCGUGCCAGCAGCCGCGGUAAUACGGGGGGGGCGAGCGUUGUUCGGAAUUACUGGGCGUAAAGGGCGCGUAGGCGGUCUGCUAAGUUGGAUGUGAAAACUCUGGGCUUAACCCAGAGCCUGCAUUCAAUACUGACAGGCUAGAGUUCUGGAGGGGAUAGCGGAAUUCCUGGUGUAGCGGUGAAAUGCGUAGAUAUCAGGAGGAACACCGGUGGCGAAGGCGGCUAUCUGGACAGAGUCUGACGCUGAGGCGCGAAAGCUAGGGGAGCAAACAGGAUUAGAUACCCUGGUAGUCCUAGCCCUAAACGAUGGAUACUUGGUGUGACUGGGAUUGAAUCCAGUCGUGCCGAAGCUAACGCAUUAAGUAUCCCGCCUGGGGAGUAUGGUCGCAAGGCUGAAACUCAAAGGAAUUGACG